CUCCAAUCCGGGGCACGAUGGCCUUGCAGACAUACUGACCCGCAUCGGCCUGGCUCACUGACUUCAAAUACAGCUGGUUGUUGUUGCUGAGCACCUGGACGCACAUACACAAGCAUACUAGUUUGGCCCCACCCAUGCACCUUUACAGUCUGACAGAGAACAAGGGCAACAUACGGUGGACGUUGAGGGCAACAGUGGCACGUUUGCCCAUCGGCACCGCCGGGUUGCUGGCAACACAGGUAAAGUUGCUGCCGCUGUCGGUGUCAGCCGGUGUGAUGGGCAGGUAGCUCCUGGUCGUCACCCUCUUCCUGUCUGGUAGUACUUCCUGUAUGGCAAAGAAAAAGGGAGUAAGAGGAAAGUAGGAUUGUGGGUAGAGGAUGAUGUGGGUAGAAUUUGGGGAGGGGAGCCGACAGAGACAGAUCAAAGAAGAGUAGGAGGAGCACGGUGGAUUGGGAAGGACGAAAAGGACAAAAAAAAAAAAAAAGCAAUGGGAAAUAUCAUGGGAGAAAUAAGACAGAAGAAAGGAAGGAGACAUAAGAGGGUUACUAAUGGAGCCAAGAGAGAUAAAGAAAUAGCAUAAAACGGAAAUAGAAACAGCAAGUAAUA
Long non-coding RNA from Morone saxatilis (striped sea-bass), 606 nucleotides. RefSeq lists it as uncharacterized. The record is from RefSeq and is a predicted model, not a curated record. NCBI's taxonomy places the organism in Eukaryota, Metazoa, Chordata, Actinopteri, Moronidae. The transcript is spliced from 2 exons.